AUUGAACGCUGGCGGCAGGCUUAACACAUGCAAGUCGAACGAUGAAACUCUAGCUUGCUAGAGAUGAUUAGUGGCGGACGGGUGAGUAACAUUUAGGAAUCUGCCUAGUAGUGGGGGAUGGGCUCGGGGAAACUCGAAUUAAUGCCGCAUACGACCUACGGGUGAAAGGGGGCGCAAGCUCUUGCUAUUAGAUGAGCCUAAAUCAGAUUAGCUAGUUGGUGGGGUAAAGGCCCACCAAGGCGACGAUCUGUAACUGGUCUGAGAGGAUGAUCAGUCACACCGGAACUGAGACACGGUCCGGACUCCUACGGGAGGCAGCAGUGGGGAAUAUUGGACAAUGGGGGGCAACCCUGAUCCAGCCAUGCCGCGUGUGUGAAGAAGGCCUUUUGGUUGUAAAGCACUUUAAGCAGGGAGGAGAGGCUAAUGGUUAAUACCCAUUAGAUUAGACGUUACCUGCAGAAUAAGCACCGGCUAACUCUGUG
RNAcentral lists this ribosomal RNA (482 nucleotides) under uncultured bacterium. Its description in RNAcentral is "bacterial SSU rRNA". It matches the Rfam family "Bacterial small subunit ribosomal RNA", at positions 30 to 507 of the family's 1533-position model. The record is from RNAcentral.